CCUACGGGUGGCAGCAGUGAGGAAUAUUGGUCAAUGGGCGCGAGCCUGAACCAGCCAAGUCGCGUGAGGGAAGACGGUCCUAUGGAUUGUAAACCUCUUUUGUCGGGGAGCAAAAGACGCCACGCGUGGCGUUCCGAGAGUACCCGAAGAAAAAGCAUCGGCUAACUCCGUGCCAGCAGCCGCGGUAAUACGGAGGAUGCGAGCGUUAUCCGGAUUUGUUGGGUUUAAAGGGUGCGCAGGCGGAAGAUCAAGUCAGAGGUAAAAUUGAGAGGCUCAACCUCGUCGAGCCGUUGAAACUGGUUUUCUUGAGUGAGCGAGAAGUAUGUGGAAUGCGUGGUGUAGCGGUGAAAUGCAUAGAUAUCACGAAGAACUCCGAUUGCGAAGGCAGCAUACCGGCGCUCAACUGACGCUCAUGCACGAAAGUGUGGGUAGCGAACAGGAUUAGAUACCCCUGUAGUC
RNAcentral lists this ribosomal RNA (459 nucleotides) under uncultured bacterium. RNAcentral's name for it is "partial 16S ribosomal RNA". It matches the Rfam family "Bacterial small subunit ribosomal RNA", at positions 338 to 795 of the family's 1533-position model. The record is from RNAcentral.